RNAcentral lists this ribosomal RNA (476 nucleotides) under uncultured bacterium. RNAcentral's name for it is "bacterial SSU rRNA". It matches the Rfam family "Bacterial small subunit ribosomal RNA", at positions 332 to 793 of the family's 1533-position model. The record is from RNAcentral.
AGCACUCCUACGGGAGGCAGCAGUGGGGAAUAUUGCACAAUGGGCGCAAGCCUGAUGCAGCCAUGCCGCGUGUAUGAAGAAGGCCUUCGGGUUGUAAAGUACUUUCAGCAGUGAGGAAGGUGGAUAUGUUAAUAGCAUAUUCAUUUGACGUUAGCUGCAGAAGAAGCACCGGCUAACUCCGUGCCAGCAGCCGCGGUAAUACGGAGGGUGCGAGCGUUAAUCGGAAUUACUGGGCGUAAAAGCGCAUGCAGGUGGUUUGUUAAGUCAGAUGUGAAAAGCCCGGGGCUCAACCUCGGAAAUUGCAUUUGAAAACUGGCAAACUAGAGUACUGUAGAGGGGGUAGAAUUUCAGGUGUAGCGGUGAAAAUGCGUAGAGAUCUGAAGGAAUACCCGGUGGCGAAGGCGGCCCCCUGGACAGAUACUGACACUCAGAUGCGAAAAGCGUGGGGAGCAAAACAGGAUUAGAUACCCUGGUAG